This 254-nucleotide ribosomal RNA is filed under the name uncultured Achromobacter sp. RNAcentral describes it as "partial 16S ribosomal RNA". It matches the Rfam family "Bacterial small subunit ribosomal RNA", at positions 1130 to 1382 of the family's 1533-position model. Lineage: Bacteria; Pseudomonadati; Pseudomonadota; Betaproteobacteria; Burkholderiales; Alcaligenaceae. The record is from RNAcentral.
AAAGGGCACUCUAAUGAGACUGCCGGUUGACAAACCCGGAGGAAGUGGGGAUGACGUCAAGUCCUCAUGGCCCUUAUGGGUAGGGCUUCACACGUCAUACAAUGGUCGGGACAGAGGGUCGCCAACCCGCGAGGGGGAGCCAAUCCCAGAAACCCGAUCGUAGUCCGGAUUGCAGUCUGCAACUCGACUGCAUGAAGUCGGAAUCGCUAGUAAUCGCGGAUCAGCAUGCCGCGGUGAAUACGUUCCCGGGCCUU